Molecule: ribosomal RNA, 253 nt
Filed under: uncultured bacterium
Lineage: Bacteria
Description: partial 16S ribosomal RNA
Rfam family: Bacterial small subunit ribosomal RNA
Source: RNAcentral
UACGUAGGGGGCGAGCGUUGUCCGGAUUUAUUGGGCGUAAAGAGCGUGUAGGCGGCCAGGUAGGUCUGCUGUGAAAACUCGAGGCUCAACCUCGAGACGUCGGUUGAAACCGUUUGGCUAGAGUCCGGAAGAGGAGAGUGGAAUUCCCGGUGUAGCGGUGAAAUGCGCAGAUAUCGGGAAGAACACCCGUGGCGAAGGCGGCUCUCUGGGACGGUACUGACGCUGAGACGCGAAAGCGUGGGGAGCGAACAGG